UUCGUAGCGACGCUGAGUUUGCGUAAUUUCGCGACACAGAUUUACGAUCCCGGCGCCAUCUUGAAAGCGUCAAUAUGAGGUACCGAGCCGCUUCGUCGCCAUUUUGAGAAGUACCUGUCUUGGAAAGAAUCACUUGAGAUCCACAGCACCGGUGGGAAGAGGAGGGGACCUGAGACCCAUGACUGAGAAACAGGGCCUGCCAGCAUUAAGAAAUGGCAGCACUGAGUGGCAGAGAGACCAGACGAGGGCAGAGAUGGACAAAGCAAAUGCCUACGCCACUCAGAAGCACUUUGGAAAUCAGCUAAGAGUAAUGGCAUCAGAGACUGGCCGGCCACUUCCGUGUGUCCCCACUGUGCUGGAGCCUUUGCAUCUGUGGCUUCUCUGGGCCCACCACCCUGUGCAGUGCGACUUCAUGGCUCUACCUGUUGAAAGAGGCAACAUUCCUCUCCACCUGAAUGUUCCCUGGCCUCAUGACUUACUUUGGUGGAAACAACAGUGUCUGGUUCUAAAGGACAGGCACAUGCUUCCUGUUACCUUCCAUGACCUCACCUGCUAGGAGAUGUUGGGGAGACCCGGGAAGCCCCAUUUACCUCCUGAAGAGGUGUUUUGUUACGGUGACAGAAAGCUGACCAACACAGAGACAGGACAGAUAACCUAGAGGUGGGAUCUGGAAGCCCUUCAGCUCAGCUGUGACGCGACCACCUCGACCAGCAAGGAAGACACAACACCGAGCUCUCCUUUCUGCCGUUUAUUCAGGAACCUUGAACAAUCUUCUGACCCCAGGGAAAGCCAGCUCACACAUUCGAAGGAGCCAGGCCCUGGGAAGCCUGAAGCUUGGGUGCUUUUUGAAGGCCGCUGGGGCCUUGCUCUCCUGAGACUGGUCAGAACAGAAAGACCAUCUUCUGCCCACACAGGGAAUGCAUUAGAGCAUAGGUCUUACCGGAGUUGGAUACAGAUGACCGUUUCCAUGUUUACUGAAACUGAACGCAGAGACUGACAUGAGCAGUGGGUGUAAUUGUGACUGGCCUACCCCCACGGUGACUCUGGCCACAAAGAAUGAAUUCAGAUAUUCCUGAAUAUCUCACGAUUUUCAGAUCCCCAAACUGCUGAGUUCACACAUGUCUCUUAUCUCCUUCUCUUUUCCUUGCCCUUCAGUGCUCAGCGUGAAUGUCCUGUCUCGGGGUAGCCUUCCUCGACCCUUUAGUCCGCUAGCAUCAGACUAAGCUCUCAUUGCAAUUGAUGGGCAAGCAAACCUAGCGAGACUCGAGCCAGAAAGGGUGAUUGCUGGUUCUGAUAACAGAAAAGCCUGGGGGAUGUCUGACUUUGAGUAAUGCUGCAUCUAGGAUCUCAAAGGGCACUGCCAGAGUCUGCCAAUGACAGGUCUCUCACCUCCCGUCAUGGGCUCCGGGCUUUGGUGAACUCUCCCUUAGGGCCCCAGAGUGGCUCCAGAUUUUUGACCUUCCAGUUUAGAACUCCCAGCUGAGUAGGAACUCCAUUUUUCUCUCAGUUAUCUUUGCAAAAACCAGACUUAGGUCCCAAACACAUCUCUGACCAGUCAUCAGAGAGGUCAAGGAGUGGAGUGCUCUGAUUUGUUAAAGUCAGUGCUUACCCAAAGUGGCCCUAACUUCAUCGUGCCUGGGUCAUGAGGGUGGACGGAAGGCAGAAGUGUCCCCAGAGGAAGAUCUAAAAGGUAAGAACACGAAGCUAGGUGGGUGACAGCAACAGCAGUUGCUGGGUUUUGGAGCACCCUCAAUGUGCCUUGUAAGGUUGGCUGACUUUGAAAGAUGUGUACUAAUUCAAGCGGUUACUUCAUCAACAUCUGUCUCUCUAGCUAGACCAAAACUCAGCACAAAGAUUCUGUGUGCCCACAGAUAAUGGCUGCCAUGCAGUAGGUAUUCAUCAAAUAUUGAGCUCUCUCCAACUGCCUUCCCUAUAGCUCCAUUCACCGGCCUUUGCCUGAGGCAAGCUGGGAAUGCUGGUGAACAAACUUCCUGUUCUGAAUCAGAUAUGCCUUGGAUCCAGAGCCUCUGCCCAGCUGUGCCCAGGGACAAUCUAUGCCACAGCAUUCUGUCCUGCAGACAGAAACAUCUGUCUAAUGGCCAACGGCAACUAGGAACUCCUGCCACAUGGCAGCCUUGGGGUAGCUAGAAGAAGACAGACUAGGGGGCCGGGGGUUAUAAAUUCUGCCACACUGUAGGCUGGGCAUCCAAAACUGGGCAAACUCCAGCCUCAUCAUCCUCAAAGGACAGUUAGGUCUACCUAUUUCAGGAGAGAGUCUGAGGUUUUCACGGCGGUGCUCAAAGUCUCCAGGCUCCCACACAACAAAGCCAGUUCAAGUUGAGCCUUUACUGAGCUAUCUGGUCAACCCCUAAAUCAAGCCUUGCUAGUCAGAGAGAGAGAGAGAGAGAGAGAGAGAGAGAGAGAGAGAGAGAGAACCUCUUUCCUCUUUUCUGAAGUCACACUCAUCCCAACAUGUGUUUGGCAGGGAAGAAUAAAGAGCAGGAAUGUAGGUGGUGGUAGGGGAGGGAAGCCUGGAGGGUUUUUGUUUGUUUGUGUUUAGAAUUACUUAUUUUGUGUAUGUGUGUGGGUGUGGAUAUACUGCAGCAUGUGGAGGUCAGAGAAUAGUUUUCUGGAGUUGAUUCUUUCUUCUCAUCAUGUGUGGUUGGGGAUCGAAUUCAGGUCAUAAGGUUUGGCAAAAAGCACCCUUACCCACUGAGCCAUCUUGCCAGCCCUGGAAUCUCAAAGGCUGGAUUUUUCAGAUUUCAAUGAUUUUCAAAUGAUAGGACUUUAAGAACCAAGGCCAGUUUUUGUGGAUAAGAUGCCAUUUGAUUUUCCUGAGUCUGGCCUUCUGGGUUUUGGAAUUUGAAGCCCUGGAUCUGUCCAGAGGCUCCUGUACUAGGCAGUGGGCUCAGCCAGAACAGAGAAGAGCCAUGCAGAAUAUAAAACAAUUUUCUAGACUGAGGAAGCAGGAGGUGGGGAGGCCGGGUCAGUAGAUUUAGACAAGGUUCUUAGUGAGGACCACUGCUCACAAGGAACAGGAAAGACACUGUGCUCUGGGACAUUCAUUCUUCAGCUCCACGACUUUCCCUAAUGACAUUCCAGAGCCCCCUCCUACUCCCUGACUGCCUCUGAGGUCAGAGUGCAUGGUGGUUUUCAAGUAUGCUGGGCUCCUGCACUAAGGAGGUUCUGAGCACUAGGAAGCCCAGUCACUCUGAUUGGACCUCCACACGCAGAACAUGAGGGCCAAAGGAGCCUUGGGGGGGGGGGGGCACACAGAUUUGGAGGCAGUACAGUCAAUGCCUGACCUCAGUUUCCCCAUUUGGGUGGGGCACAGUCACUAAUUCAUUCAACAAACAGACUCCCUGAGCCCAAUUGGGUGCCAGGUUGCCACAAUCCCAUUUUGCCACUUCUUGGGGUAAAUUGCUUCAACCUUUUAUCAUUUAGUUUUGUCAUCCUUAAAAUCAGAAUGCAAGAGUCAUGCAGUGGUGGCCCAUGCCUUUAAUCCCAGCACUUGGGAGGCAGAAGCAGGUGGAUCUCUGUGAGUUCAAGGCCAGCCUGGUCUACAGAGCGAGUUCCAGAAUAUCCAGAGCUGUUACACAAAGAAACCCUGUCUCAAUCUCCACCUCCAAAAAUAAAUCGGAAUGAAAGAAAACCUGCUUCUUAGAGUCAUUUUGAUGCUUAGAAGAAUUAGCCCAUGUUAUAUGUCCUUGCUUCUUGUCAGACCAGG
Peromyscus californicus insignis is the source of this 3727-nucleotide long non-coding RNA. RefSeq lists it as uncharacterized. The transcript is spliced from 5 exons. The record is from RefSeq and is a predicted model, not a curated record. NCBI's taxonomy places the organism in Eukaryota, Metazoa, Chordata, Mammalia, Rodentia, Cricetidae.